UUGAACGCUGGCGGAAUGCUUUACACAUGCAAGUCGAGCGGCAGCGCGGGGCAACCUGGCGGCGAGCGGCGAACGGGUGAGUAACAUAUCGGAACGUACCCUAUCGUGGGGGAUAACACAUCGAAAGAUGUGCUAAUACCGCAUACGACCUGAGGGUGAAAGCGGGGGAUCGCAAGACCUCGCGCGACAGGAGCGGCCGAUAUCGGAUUAGCUAGUUGGUGAGGUAAAGGCUCACCAAGGCGACGAUCUGUAGCUGGUCUGAGAGGACGACCAGCCACACUGGGACUGAGACACGGACCAGACUCCUACGGGAGGCAGCAGUGGGGAAUUUUGGACAAUGGGCGCAAGCCUGAUCCAGCAAUGCCGCGUGCAGGAAGAAGGCCUUCGGGUUGUAAACUGCUUUUGUACGGAACGAAAAGGUCUGGGUUAAUACCCUGGGCCCAUGACGGUACCGUAAGAAUAAGCACCGGCUAACUACGU
This 480-nucleotide ribosomal RNA is filed under the name uncultured bacterium. RNAcentral describes it as "bacterial SSU rRNA". It matches the Rfam family "Bacterial small subunit ribosomal RNA", at positions 29 to 506 of the family's 1533-position model. The record is from RNAcentral.